GUGUGGGCCCUGUGCGACAGAACGCUGUGAAUCAUGUCAGGCGGGGAACCGAGCAGCAUUAAGCGGAUUGUUCUGUGCGCCGCAGACAAGUCUGCAUGGU
This 100-nucleotide signal recognition particle RNA is filed under the name Clostridiales bacterium. RNAcentral describes it as "signal recognition particle sRNA small type". It matches the Rfam family "Bacterial small signal recognition particle RNA". From Rfam's summary of the family: The signal recognition particle (SRP) is a universally conserved ribonucleoprotein involved in the co-translational targeting of proteins to membranes. Lineage: Bacteria; Bacillati; Bacillota; Clostridia; Eubacteriales. The record is from RNAcentral. RNAcentral also lists the same sequence under 1 other name.